Molecule: ribosomal RNA, 474 nt
Filed under: uncultured bacterium
Lineage: Bacteria
Description: bacterial SSU rRNA
Rfam family: Bacterial small subunit ribosomal RNA
Source: RNAcentral
ACUCCUACGGGAGGCAGCAGUGGGGAAUAUUGCACAAUGGGGGAAACCCUGAUGCAGCCAUGCCGCGUGUGUGAAGAAGGCCUUCGGGUUGUAAAGCACUUUCAGUAGGGAGGAAGGUAGUGUAGUUAACACCUGCACUUAUUUGACGUUACCUACAGAAGAAGCACCGGCUAACUCCGUGCCAGCAGCCGCGGUAAUACGGAGGGUGCGAGCGUUAAUCGGAAUUACUGGGCGUAAAGCGCAUGCAGGCGGCCUGUUAAGUCAGAUGUGAAAGCCCGGGGCUUAACCUCGGAAUUGCAUUUGAAACUGGCAGGCUAGAGUCUUGUAGAGGGGGGUAGAAUUUCAGGUGUAGCGGUGAAAUGCGUAGAGAUCUGAAGGAAUACCAGUGGCGAAGGCGGCCCCCUGGACAAAGACUGACGCUCAGAUGCGAAAGCGUGGGGAGCAAACAGGAUUAGAUACCCUGGUAGCACAGAG